CGAAGUCACCAUGGAAAUCGGCAAAAUCCAUUACGAUAUGUGUAAAAUUGGAGUUUCAAGGGUUAUUAUGAAACCCGAGGCGCAAUUUGAAGCUUCUUUGCAGAGCAUGUUCAUGGACUCAAAACUUAACAAUAUGCAGCAUUUUGUUGGCACAUUGGAGAAACUAUGCAAAAAGGUAUCACAUGUACAAGGAUAAAAAUCCCUUGAUCGUGGGCUGUUGAGCAAGAUCAUUUUUCAGGAUGGUUCAUCUCAGGAGACAAUAGAGUUGCUAUUGAGACACUUUCUCUUUAGGCCUACUACAAUGGUAUAACGAUUUUUAGAUAUCAGGGGUGAUUUUGUCUGUUAUGAUUGCAAGUCCUUCAAAAGUUUCCAGGACAGUGACCGUAGUUAUGAUCCUCCAGAGGAUAUGCCAAUGUAUUCUGUAUUUAGAUACUAGAUCUCCUUCUCAUGUAGUAGUAGUUUUUUGUUUCUGAAAUUCUGUAUAAUGUCAAACAGAGUGAAAUUUUUUAGAAUUGUAGAGUAAAAUCAGUUGACCUGUUGCAACUUUAUAGAUAGGAAUGGCAUAAUCUUCUUUCUUUUC
Long non-coding RNA from Rhododendron vialii, 580 nucleotides. RefSeq lists it as uncharacterized. The record is from RefSeq and is a predicted model, not a curated record. The transcript has 2 exons. NCBI's taxonomy places the organism in Eukaryota, Viridiplantae, Streptophyta, Magnoliopsida, Ericales, Ericaceae.